This 492-nucleotide ribosomal RNA is filed under the name uncultured bacterium. RNAcentral describes it as "partial 16S ribosomal RNA". It matches the Rfam family "Bacterial small subunit ribosomal RNA", at positions 29 to 507 of the family's 1533-position model. The record is from RNAcentral.
AGUGAACGCUGGCGGUAGGCCUAACACAUGCAAGUCGAACGGCAGCACAGUAAGAGCUUGCUCUUGCGGGUGGCGAGUGGCGGACGGGUGAGGAAUACAUCGGAAUCUACUUUUUCGUGGGGGAUAACGUAGGGAAACUUACGCUAAUACCGCAUACGACCUACGGGUGAAAGCAAGGGAUCUUCGGACCUUGCGCGAUUGAAUGAGCCGAUGUCGGAUUAGCUAGUUGGCGGGGUAAAGGCCCACCAAGGCGACGAUCCGUAGCUGGUCUGAGAGGAUGAUCAGCCACACUGGAACUGAGACACGGUCCAGACUCCUACGGGAGGCAGCAGUGGGGAAUAUUGGACAAUGGGCGCAAGCCUGAUCCAGCCAUACCGCGUGGGUGAAGAAGGCCUUCGGGUUGUAAAGCCCUUUUGUUGGGAAAGAAAAGCAGCAGGUUAAUACCCCGCUGUUCUGACGGUACCCAAAGAAUAAGCACCGGCUAACUUCGUG